AGGACGAACGCUGGCGGCGUGCUUAACACAUGCAAGUCGAGCGGUAAGGCUCCUUCGGGAGUACACGAGCGGCGAACGGGUGAGUAACACGUGAGCAAUCUGCCCUUCACAUCGGGAUAACUUCCGGAAACGGAAGCUAAUACCGGAUACGACCACCUCAGGCAUCUGAUGGUGGUGGAAAGUUCUGGCGGUGAAGGAUGAGCUCGCGGCCUAUCAGUCUUGUGGUGAGGUAACGCCCACAGGCUUCGACGGGUA
Molecule: ribosomal RNA, 255 nt
Filed under: uncultured bacterium
Lineage: Bacteria
Description: partial small subunit ribosomal RNA
Rfam family: Bacterial small subunit ribosomal RNA
Source: RNAcentral